Molecule: long non-coding RNA, 1368 nt
Organism: Astatotilapia calliptera (eastern happy)
Lineage: Eukaryota; Metazoa; Chordata; Actinopteri; Cichliformes; Cichlidae
Source: Ensembl
CUGCUCUCCCCUUCACCACCACCAACAACACGGCUGCGUAAUCAGUCAGGUCCAGGGGCUGAGACGCACCGAGCCACACAGCGGUUUGCUUGUUGAUAAGACUCCUUGGAAGAAGAGAACCGCAAACUAUCUUCCUGCGACGUUAUUUCUGCCUCUAAGCUGGACUUUUGGGACGCGUUACGGUUAAAGAGGAAAAGACUCUUGACUGUCGGGAAAUGAAAAUUCAAAUGGAUUUGUAAUUUAUUGCUUUUUUAAAAAAAAAGAAAUUAAUUUGGGACACACUUGGAAUUAUUUUGACUUUGCUUCCUUUCUAAAUCUCUUGGAUAUUUUUUUUUUUUUAAAAAGUAUUUUUCUAAAGUGUAGACUUUAAUUGCUUGGAAAUUUCUUUUGCUAAAAUGGUCUUAUUCUUUUCAUCUGAGCUUUCAGCCAAAAACGGACACUUCAGCGCAUCAAGGUGAACUUAACUGAGUGAACUAAACCGGACUUUGAAGAGUGAACUAAAAGUAGGAGGCUUACUGUCGCUCUCAAUUUUUUUUUAUAUAUUUCGAGGGGAACUUGGAAAAAAAGGUUUGGUGCAAGCUGAGCGGAUUCUUCUUCAUCUUUUGGGAACACCUCUGCUGUGGGACCGCGGUGUGGACGGACGCUCGCACGCGCGCGCAGUCUCGCAGGGCGAGCCGCUGUCCCCCCGCGCGCAGUGCUGAGGAGAGAGGCUCUCUCGCGCUUCCAUAAAUGCCCGGUCCGUCGAAGAGGCUCGAGGCUGGGCAGCAAGAUGAGCUCGUGGGUACAGCUGCUGCUCGCGUUACUAGCGGUGUGUCUGCGGUUUGGCGUGGCCGAGCCGCUGCCUGUACCUGGCAUUCUUCAAUGUGUCCAUGAGUUCUCCAGGGGAUGGGGAGUUUCUUCAGGUGAUAAAUACUGCAGUAUGUCAAGUCUUGUGUUUUUUUCCUGCCAUAAUUAGCAGAAAAAAGGGAGAAAACAUACCUGAAUAGUUCAGGUAUAACACACAGUUUGGCAGGAGUGGUCUUUUGUGUUGUAGAUUAGCAGCUGUCAAAAACAAAUGCUUUGUCAGCAGAAGCUAAUUAUUCCAAACAGGCUAACUACUGCAGGCUAUAGCUACAGCUGGAUUUUGAGAUAGUUUAAUCUUUUCUUUAAGAAACGUUAGCUUUUUAUCCUUUUUCAGAAUGAAUAAGGUGCUGCUGUAGGUAUUAAAAUGACAUUCAGCUCUAUAUUAUUAUUAUUUUUAUGCUUCUGCCUGCAGGAAAUAUGAAAUGCACCUAUAAAAAACCUUUUCUUAACCUUGAUAAUUCACCUUCAUGCCAUAGGUGCUCAUUAAUCAUUAUCAGAGUGUGUUUACAUAGUCUGCCAGUCCAG